Molecule: ribosomal RNA, 492 nt
Filed under: uncultured bacterium
Lineage: Bacteria
Description: partial 16S ribosomal RNA
Rfam family: Bacterial small subunit ribosomal RNA
Source: RNAcentral
AGUGAACGCUGGCGGUAGGCCUAACACAUGCAAGUCGAACGGCAGCACAGUAAGCGCUUGCUCUUACGGGUGGCGAGUGGCGGACGGGUGAGGAAUACAUCGGAAUCUACUUUUUCGUGGGGGAUAACGUAGGGAAACUUACUCUAAUACCGCAUACGACCUACGGGUGAAAGCAGGGGAUCUUCGGACCUUGCGCGAUUGAAUGAGCCGAUGUCGGAUUAGCUAGUUGGCGGGGUAAAGGCCCACCAAGGCGACGAUCCGUAGCUGGUCUGAGAGGAUGAUCAGCCACACUGGAACUGAGACACGGUCCAGACUCCUACGGGAGGCAGCAGUGGGGAAUAUUGGACAAUGGGCGCAAGCCUGAUCCAGCCAUACCGCGUGGGUGAAGAAGGCCUUCGGGUUGUAAAGCCCUUUUGUUGGGAAAGAAAAGCAGCAGGUUAAUACCCCGCUGUUCUGACGGUACCCAAAGAAUAAGCACCGGCUAACUUCGUG